Molecule: ribosomal RNA, 253 nt
Filed under: uncultured bacterium
Lineage: Bacteria
Description: partial 16S ribosomal RNA
Rfam family: Bacterial small subunit ribosomal RNA
Source: RNAcentral
UACAGAGGGGGCCAGCGUUAUUCGGAAUUAUUGGGCGUAAAGGGCGCGUAGGCGGCCUGGCAAGUGUAAGGUGAAAUCCCUCGGCUUAACCGAGGAACUGCCCUCCAAACUGCUUGGCUUGAGUCCGGGAGAGGUGAGUGGAAUUCCCAGUGUAGCGGUGAAAUGCGUAGAUAUUGGGAGGAACACCAGUGGCGAAGGCGGCUCACUGGACCGGAACUGACGCUGAGGCGCGAAAGCGUGGGGAGCAAACGGG